UAUUGAUCGAAAAUUAUAAAAGUUGUUGUUAUCCUAAUUAUUCAAACACAAUCUUAAAUCUAUAAUAUUUUUCUAUAAAAAUGAUAAAUUUCUGAAAAUAGAAUUUUAAAAAAUUAUUUAAAAUCUACAACAUAUUGAUUAAAAAUCUUAAAAGAAUAUUCUUCUAUCAAAAGAAAUUCUUGUUAUCAUAAUUUCUAAAUCACAGAUCCCAAAUCUACAAUAGUUAUCUAUAAAAUGAUUAUUUUCCAAAAUUUUUAAAAGAAAACUCAUC
Molecule: long non-coding RNA, 271 nt
Filed under: Brassica napus (rape)
Lineage: Eukaryota; Viridiplantae; Streptophyta; Magnoliopsida; Brassicales; Brassicaceae
Description: long non-coding RNA (BNAP_LNC026291)
Source: RNAcentral